AUGUUUGUUGAAAGAAUAGGGAUAAAAAUAUGGCUCCCUGCAGAAGGCCCUGGGGUUGGUAGGGCAGCUGGUAGAGGAGUACCAGCUGGUGUGCCAAUUCCCCAGGCCCCUGCUGGAUUAGCAGGCCCUGUCCGAGGAGUUGGGGGCCCGUCCCAGCAGGUAAUGACUCCACAGGGAAGAGGCACUGUAGCAGCUGCUGCUGUUGCUGCGACUGCCAGCAUUGCUGGAGCCCCAACACAGAACCCACCAGGACGGGGGGCUCCGCCCCCACCUGUCGGGAGAGCAAUCCCGCCUCCAGGUAUUAUGGCUCCUCCACCUGGUGUGAGACCACCCAUGGGCCCACCAAUUGGGCUUCCCCCUGUUCGAGGGACGCCAAUAGAUAUGCCCCCUCCAGGAAUGAGACCCCCUCCACCAGGCAUUAAAGGUCCACCUCCCCCAGGAAUGCAUCCACCAAGACCCUAGCAUACUGUUGAUCCAUCUCAGUCUCUCUCUCUCCCCAGCAAUGUGUCUUCUGAAAUUGUGUAGAGUGUUUGUGAGCUUUUUGUCCCCUUGUUCUGCAUUAAUAAUAGCUAAUAAUAAAUUCAUAGAGCAAUUUAAAAAAUGUG
This is an RNA transcript of Sapajus apella (tufted capuchin), 605 nucleotides long. It is a transcript of the gene named small nuclear ribonucleoprotein-associated protein N pseudogene, with no coding region annotated. The record is from RefSeq and is a predicted model, not a curated record. The transcript has a single exon. Lineage: Eukaryota; Metazoa; Chordata; Mammalia; Primates; Cebidae.